GACGAACGCUGGCGGCGUGCCUAAUACAUGCAAGUCGAGCGAGCUUGCCUAGAUGAAUUUGGUGCUUGCACCAAAUGAAACUAGAUACAAGCGAGCGGCGGACGGGUGAGUAACACGUGGGUAACCUGCCCAAGAGACUGGGAUAACACCUGGAAACAGAUGCUAAUACCGGAUAACAACACUAGACGCAUGUCUAGAGUUUAAAAGAUGGUUCUGCUAUCACUCUUGGAUGGACCUGCGGUGCAUUAGCUAGUUGGUAAGGUAACGGCUUACCAAGGCAAUGAUGCAUAGCCGAGUUGAGAGACUGAUCGGCCACAUUGGGACUGAGACACGGCCCAAACUCCUACGGGAGGCAGCAGUAGGGAAUCUUCCACAAUGGACGCAAGUCUGAUGGAGCAACGCCGCGUGAGUGAAGAAGGGUUUCGGCUCGUAAAGCUCUGUUGGUAGUGAAGAAAGAUAGAGGUAGUAACUGGCCUUUAUUUGACGGUAAUUACUUAGAAAGUCACGGCUAACUACGUGCCAGCAGCCGCGGUAAUACGUAGGUGGCAAGCGUUGUCCGGAUUUAUUGGGCGUAAAGCGAGUGCAGGCGGUUCAAUAAGUCUGAUGUGAAAGCCUUCGGCUCAACCGGAGAAUUGCAUCAGAAACUGUUGAACUUGAGUGCAGAAGAGGAGAGUGGAACUCCAUGUGUAGCGGUGGAAUGCGUAGAUAUAUGGAAGAACACCAGUGGCGAAGGCGGCUCUCUGGGUCUGCAACUGACGCUGAGGCUCGAAAGCAUGGGUAGCGAACGGG
This 789-nucleotide ribosomal RNA is filed under the name uncultured Lactobacillus sp. Its description in RNAcentral is "bacterial SSU rRNA". It matches the Rfam family "Bacterial small subunit ribosomal RNA", at positions 28 to 776 of the family's 1533-position model. The record is from RNAcentral. Lineage: Bacteria; Bacillati; Bacillota; Bacilli; Lactobacillales; Lactobacillaceae.